CCGCACGACUUUUUCCCUCUACUUACACGAACCAAAUGGAAAAACCUCUAUACUUCUCGGUCCUCGCCUUCAAAGAAGGAGGAGUCUACUAAAUAUUGAAUUCGUCGAUCGAUUGUUAGACCGAUUUCGAUGGCCAGUCAACAGUCAAUGGCGACGCACAUUAGAAGCGAUAACAUAUGCGAAUGGCGUUAUAGAAUUGCACAACAGCGAAGCCACGUUGGUAAGCGUCUUGGAAAAUAUAGUUAUAGGCGAUGGCUAUGCACAAAUGGGUUGAGUUCCUACGAGAUUUCCGUUCCAAACCUCAUGCUAACAGAUUACUUUUCUAGAGAGAAUAAGGUUAAACCCCAGUUGGUGGUUGUGAUUGUAUUUUGUCACAGCUGUGUACUGGAAAACAGUACCAUACAUUUUGUGAAAAUUGGAAGGACAUUCAAUUUUAUCAUUAAGGAGAUAUAGGCUGAUGCCUAGGUUGGCACAAUUGUUAGUCUGUGGUUGUAGUUUGUUGUAUUACUUGGCAUUACUGAAGCUGGUUAUUAGUAAAUAUAUUUAAGUUUUCAUGUAGCUUAAGUAGAACUUUGCUCUAUUGUAACAAAUUAGACAAAUCUUGGUAAACAAACAACUAGAAUGGUUUGUACAAAUCCACUGGCAAGGAUGGUUAUGACAAUGAGUCAUCAGGUGAGAAUACUUCCUGUAAAAGAAUUAUGGAAGUAAUCUGUAGCAUUACAAUUGUUACAAUCAAAUACAAUUGGGAAUGGAAUCUCAACAUCAAAUGGUUAUCAUGACAACAUAGAUAUCUGAGAAAAAUUACUGAAACAUUUAUAGCUCGUUCUACCAGAAGAGUUAAAUAGGGAUGUGUGUUUACUUGAACAAGUAAUGGGAUUGGAUGCAAAACAGGUGAAAGAGGUAGCAUUAACCUGUUAACAUAAAAAAUUUGGCCACAAAUUUGUAAAAAUAAAAAUGAAAUGUGAAAAGGCUCUUAAGAAACCAUUGUGUUGAAUACCACUGUGUUCUACACCAUAUUGCUUGCAGUUGGAAUAUUUUGGAAUAAAUUGCAUUUGUAUCUACCAAAUACUACACCAAAAAGCGCCUGAAUGCAACACCUGUACCGCUCCCAGCUACUACGCUAAAGCUUCAGAAUACUAAUUGGCUACAAACCCCUAUAGGGAAGCGCAGGUCCCAACUAAGUUAACGCAGCGGAUCCUCCAGUAUACGACCCUGCAACCUUUACUUGAGGUCUUCCAUUGGAUUAGAAUUUCUAUGGGAUUUGGGUUUUUAUAAGAAGCUAGACCAGAUCCCAAUCGUCUUGAUCCUUCUUCACUUUGAUCGCGAUUCAAGUCAACGCAUUCCAUCAUGCUAGCGAUCGUUUGUUUGACAAUUCUUUUCACAGAAUUUGAUGACUGGACUUCCUGCAAUUCCUUAAACCCAUUUGUCCCAAGAGACAAGGUGAUUGAAGCCGUCUUAACUGUUCCAAGAAUUCCCAUGGCCUGACGGCGAAACCACCCGCGACAACGUAGUGGGAAUGAUUAGAUUUACGAACGUUGUUAAGGCAAAUGAUUUCCGCACUCUUCUAGAACACGGAUACAGAGUUGUAUCAUUGACCAGAUUUAGAUGGGAAAUAUUAUGAAUAGUAAAACUACCGUUUUUCGCCCAAUUGUUAAUAUAAUUCUUUUGGGAACGUUUGGAUGUCGCCCAAAAACAAGCGGAAGACCAUUCGAGGCGUUAUGCCAUUUCUUGAAAUUGAACAUUCAGAAAAUGUGGUAUAUGUUCACAAAUUGUUAAGAUCUAUUCAGAAUGGUACCGUUAAGUAUGACUGUAGGAAAGGGUACGUAGGAUUCUAAAAGUGAAGAACAGCUCUGACGUCUUUGGUAAGCGGAAAAGGUACUACAAAGAGAAGCGUUACAUGGCGGUUUUAAGAAUGGACUCUUUCGUUUGCUUUGCCCAAUGAAUCUGUGCUAUGAACAAGCAGUGGCACUCAAUCUUUGUUCUUAAAACCCCGAGGUGAUCUUCACUUUUCAUGGGGAUUUAUUGAUUAUACUUGUUAAUUAACCAUGAAGAAUACCAAAAGAUGGAUCAGUGGAUGGUUAUAAAAGUAUAAAAUUGUAAUCCCUCGUGGCAUUUUCAUCCACGCAUGCGUGACAAUUCGUGAGCAGACGAACCAUAUUGAUCGUGAGCAACCAUACGCAGUCUGGCUGCAUCCAGCUAGAUACUACUAGAACCCGAAACAUUGUUUUGACAAGUGCUCUAUAUUUCGGUUGCAGGUUUUCACUAAAUAAGAAGACAGGCUUUCCUACAAGCUACGACAGUUUUACCUACAAAUGUUUCGUGCUGCAACUAGUAGCUGAUUUCCUAGGAUCCUAUGCCUAAAAUUGGAGUUCAGUUAUCAGAGAUUAGCAAAAUUCAAGCACUUAAAAGCAAGUGUAAACUCUAGAUGGCGUUGAAGUGCGUCUAAAAUGAAGAUUGCGAGUGAUAUGUAAUAGGUGUUUGUUACGUUACCUGUUUAGUUUUUCAAAGGAUAUUUCGUCAAAAAAUUUACGGUAUGCCAGCAGCCUGCAUUCCUGCUAUCAAUGUAAAACAAGGAAUCCUGACACUUUAAGAAGGCCAGUAUUCCUUACAGGAAGAUCACCAUCCAGUUCAACCAACAGCCCUCUGCAUCCCAGAUAUCUAGAUUUCCAAGCUUCGCUGAUUAGCCAACCAUCAUCCAUACACUUCAGCUCUUCAUUGUGGUUUCUCUUCCUCUCUUCUUAAUCUGCCGAAAGCCAACAUGAAAUAAGGUUCAUCUUCAUUGGAUUACCAUGAAACUUGUCAUUGUUAAUCCUGCUGUUCUUCUCACCGUUACUUAGCCAGCUAACAUGGAUAGGCGUUAACACCAUCUCCAUUUUUUGAACUGCAAAUAUUCAUCUUCCUUUGGUACAACACUGCUGUUACGACAAUUUCGCUAGUUUCGCCCCCCAGUGGACCACACGCAACUACAUUUUUUUCGUCUUCCUGUCGUGGUUGUCUACGCCUUCACCUCAUCGCUGUCUUCGUUGACGGGUUCGCCUUCAUCUCCGUCUCGUCGUCGUCUUGGCCGUCUUUUUCUACGCCAUCACCUCGUUGCCGGCUUCGCCUUCGCUUUUCACGUAGAGUUCACCGUGGAUCGUCGCCCUGGUAUUGUUUUAUUUUGCAUUUUAAUGUUUAAGUUAACCCGUUGGCUGCCACCCCGUUUGCGUCCCAUUUUUUUUUUAGCUUGUAGGGACCGGCCGCAAUGGCCUUCGCCGCAAGGCGCCUUAGG
RNAcentral lists this long non-coding RNA (3268 nucleotides) under Daphnia magna. RNAcentral describes it as "uncharacterized LOC116929189, transcript variant X4". Lineage: Eukaryota; Metazoa; Arthropoda; Branchiopoda; Diplostraca; Daphniidae. The record is from RNAcentral.